This 1128-nucleotide non-coding RNA is filed under the name Selaginella moellendorffii. RNAcentral's name for it is "Eukaryotic large subunit ribosomal RNA". It matches the Rfam family "Eukaryotic large subunit ribosomal RNA", at positions 1 to 1149 of the family's 3401-position model. Lineage: Eukaryota; Viridiplantae; Streptophyta; Lycopodiopsida; Selaginellales; Selaginellaceae. The record is from Rfam by way of RNAcentral.
CGACCUCAGGUCAGGCAAGACAACCCGCUGAGUUUAAGCAUAUCACUAAGCGGAGGAAAAGAAACUAACAAGGAUUUCCCUAGUAGCGGCGAGCGAAACGGAAAGAGCCCAGCUUGGAAAUCGGGGUGUCUCUGCACCCCGAAUUGUAGUCUGGAGAAGGGUCCUCUGCAGCGGACCGGGUUUAAGUCCCUUGGAACGGGACGCCAGAGAGGGUGAGAGCCCCGUCUAGCCCGGACCCUGCUGCAUCACGAGGCUCUUUCGGCGAGUCGGGCUGUUUGGGAAUGCAGCCUUAAGUGGGUGGUAAAUUCCAUCCAAGGCUAAAUACUGGUGAGAGACCGAUAGCGCACAAGUACCGCGAGGGAAAGAUGAAAAGGACUUUGAAAAGAGAGUUAAAAAGUGCUUGAAAUUGCUGGGAGGGAAGCGAAUGGAUGCCUUGUGCGCCCCUUGGUUGUGUGUGGAACGGCGAGAGCUGGUCUGCCAAGCAAUGCAAGGGGCUGUCCAGCAUGGGAGGACGCGGCGGGAUAACGGCUUGUGAGCCUCUGGCUCCCUGCCAAUGCCGCCGCUGCCUCUGAAAAUGGCGGGGUGCUCCGGUGCCCCGCCAGAUGCUGGAACUUGGGCGUUCCAUCCGACCCGUCUUGAAACACGGACCAAGGAGUCUAACAUGUAUGCGAGUCUGUGGGUGUUAAACCCGUACAGGCGAAAGGAAACUAAUUCGUGGGAUCCCCUUCGGGGGUGCACCACGGACCGACCUUGAUCUUUUGAGAAGGGUUUGAGUGUUAGCAUACCUGCUGGGACCCGAAAGAUGGUGAACUAUGCCUGAGCAGGGCGAAGCCAGAGGAAACUCUGGUGGAGGCUCGUAGCGAUACUGACGUGCAAAUCGUUCGUCAGACUUGGGUAUAGGGGCGAAAGACUAAUCGAACCAUCUAGUAGCUGGUACCCUCCGAAGUUUCCCUCAGGAUAGCUGGAGCUCUUGCUGAGUUUUAUCGGGUAAAGCGAAUGAUUAGAGGCAUCGGGGGUGAAACACCCUCGACCUAUUCUCAAACUUUAAAUAGGUAAAGCAGCCUGGGGUUGCUCUGUUGAGCCCCGGCCGUGAUGCGAGCUCCAAGUGGCCAUUUUUGGUAAGCAGAA